UCAUUGAGUGUUUUAAAUCGUCCAGGACAGCUGUAAUGAGAAUAAUACAGAAAUGUAUUUAUUCAUACAUUAUAUGUGCAUGUAAGUAUAUACGUAUUGUUUUAUUUUAAAACGAGUCUUCUAGAAAAAUGCAUGUCCAUGAAUCAAUUAUGCUGCUUGCUUCCUGCCAACCAUAUGUCACGGAAGAAAACGUGUUCCAGACACUUACUGAAAUAUCUACGAGAGCGAAUAACAUGCAGAUGAUAAUAAAUCACGAAUGUGUAAGUAUAUUUUCUAUAUUAUUAUUAUUAUUAUUAUUAUUAUUAUUAUUAUUAUUAUUAUUAUUAUUAUUAUUAUUAUUAUUAUUAUUAUUCGAGGAUUAUAUAUUAAUGGGUCAGUUAUCGAUAUACCAUAACAAUUAAACAUUUACCUUUUAUAUCUUUUAUUUAUCCGCAUGAGCCUUUUCAGUGCCUGUGGUACUAAAGUAUAAAGAGGUGGAGGUCAGAACGACACAAGGAGAGAAGCUUUGAUGUCAGCAGAACCUUUCCAUUUUGAUGGAUGUUUCUGUGCGGGGGUAGAAACAGAAGGAGCCAACAUGGCGCGCUUACACAGCUUGUGAAGCAGUUCAACCUUUCGGCUUACAUCAUGCUCGUCAACACACAUACACGUAUUGAAAUGAAAGCAUUUUUCUGUCUUUUUUUUUAUCAAACACUGAUCGUGUAUUGUAAUCCUCUUUUGAAUAUGUUAACAUGUUACCUGUUUCCUGUUCAUCUGUACUUUAAAAUUACUAUUUAUUUUCAGAGCACAACACAAACUUAUAAAGGAUGAAAUUGAAACAUACCAAAAACAUUAUUAUUAUUUUGGUGCACACACCAGUGUUAAAAACUCAGAACUCAUAUUAAUACAUACACAAUGUAUUUUUUUUAAUUUUUAUGAUUUAUUUGUCAGAAUUAGAGCAGUAUGGAAUGUAUGACAAUGAAACAGAAAUUUGAAUGUUCCAUAUCAAACAUUUUCCAGAUUAUUAUUUCUGAAUUGUGUACUGUCUUAUUGCACCAUUGUUGUUCAAACACCAUUAAAAAAGUUUCUCUUUGAAAUGUA
This is a long non-coding RNA of Acipenser ruthenus (sterlet), 1077 nucleotides long. RefSeq lists it as uncharacterized. NCBI's taxonomy places the organism in Eukaryota, Metazoa, Chordata, Actinopteri, Acipenseriformes, Acipenseridae. The transcript has 2 exons. The record is from RefSeq and is a predicted model, not a curated record.